UGAGGAAUAUUGCGCAAUGGGGGCAACCUUGACGCAGCAACGCCGCGUGAGUGAGGAAGGUUUUCGGACCGUAAAGCUCUGUCGAGCGGGAAGAAAUGCAUGGUGGCUAAUAUCCAUCAUGCUUGACGGUACCGCUAAAGGAGGCACCGGCUAACUCCGUGCCAGCAGCCGCGGUAAUACGGGGGGUGCGAGCGUUGUGCGGAAUUAUUGGGCGUAAAGAGCGUGUAGGCGGCCGAAUAAGGCAGAUGUGAAAGCCCUGGGCUUAACCCAGGACGUGCAUUUGAAACUAUUCGGCUAGAGUAGGGGAGAGGAAAGUGGAAUUCCUGGUGUAGAGGUGAAAUUCGUAGAUAUCAGGAGGAACACCGGUGGCGAAGGCGACUUUCUGGCCCUAUACUGACGCUGAGACGCGAGAGCGUGGGUAGCAAACAG
RNAcentral lists this ribosomal RNA (429 nucleotides) under uncultured bacterium. RNAcentral's name for it is "bacterial SSU rRNA". It matches the Rfam family "Bacterial small subunit ribosomal RNA", at positions 355 to 775 of the family's 1533-position model. The record is from RNAcentral.